CAGGCAAAUUCCAGGCUCCUUUGGAAGAAUGACAAUGUUACAGGAAAGCACAUGGAUUUGCAGCUUUGUGGACACCGCCUGAGAGGGUGACAGCUCUUUACUCUCAAUGGAGGAAAGUGAAGCCAGGCUUACUGAGAAAAAAACAACCCUCAGAAAUCAAAAUCAGACAGCUAUACCCAGUCUGGCUGCCCCGGAGCGGGAAGACCCGAACCUUGGCAGGGCUGGCUGCUGUGCUGACCAGUCUGAUAUCAUGAAGAGAAGUGAUUUUCCGAUCCUGCAUCCGGUACAGCUGUGCGGACUCUGCUCUUCCUGCCAUUCCACCAAGAAAUUAAAAAGCAAUUUUCUUUUGAA
Nomascus leucogenys (northern white-cheeked gibbon) is the source of this 351-nucleotide long non-coding RNA. RefSeq lists it as uncharacterized. The record is from RefSeq and is a predicted model, not a curated record. Lineage: Eukaryota; Metazoa; Chordata; Mammalia; Primates; Hylobatidae. The transcript is spliced from 2 exons.